Molecule: non-coding RNA, 415 nt
Organism: Struthio camelus australis
Lineage: Eukaryota; Metazoa; Chordata; Aves; Struthioniformes; Struthionidae
Source: RefSeq, a predicted model, not a curated record
CUGGGGGGCCCCCCCCCCCCGAGCGGUUUUACCCGUGUCACCCAGGAGAGAAUGCUAAGCUGAGACAUGUAGAAAAAGAUGUUUUGAUUCCACAAAUAAUGAGAGAAAGGGCCAAGGAACUGUGUUCUGACAAAGUGCAAGGGCUUCCCAGAGACAUGCUACGUGAGAGCAAGUUAACGGGAGUGUUCUGAAGAAAUAUCAUUUUUAAUCUACAUAGACUGCUUCUCCUCUCUACUGCUUUGGCCUAUUAAAGCUACGUUAAGCGAUUGCCGGGGAGAAAGGGAGAGUGGCUGGACAGGCAGGGUCUUCUGCAUCCAAGAAAUACUUUCAGCAUUUACUAAAUGCUGUAAAGAAACCGGUCUUCUUAUGGUGGUGAAAUGUCGGCAAGAGAACGCAGCACUGAAGGAUUGUCUGG